GACGAACGCUGGCGGCGUGCUUAACACAUGCAAGUCGAACGGAAAGGCCCUGCUUUUGUGGGGUGCUCGAGUGGCGAACGGGUGAGUAACACGUGAGUAACCUGCCCUUGACUUUGGGAUAACUUCAGAAAACUGGGGCUAAUACCGGAUAGGAGCUCCUGCUGCAUGGUGGGGGUUGGAAAGUUUCGGCGGUUGGGGAUGGACUCGCGGCUUAUCAGCUUGUUGGUGGGGUAGUGGCUUACCAAGGCUUUGACGGGUAGCCGGCCUGAGAGGGUGACCGGCCACAUUGGGACUGAGAUACGGCCCAGACUCCUACGGGAGGCAGCAAUGGGGAAUAUUGUACAAUGGGCGGAAGCCUGAUGCAGCAACGCCGCGUGCGGGAUGACGGCCUUCGGGUUGUAAACCGCUUUCGCCUGUGACGAAGCGUGAGUGACGGUAAUGGGUAAAGAAGCACCGGCUAACUACGUG
This 468-nucleotide ribosomal RNA is filed under the name uncultured bacterium. RNAcentral's name for it is "partial 16S ribosomal RNA". It matches the Rfam family "Bacterial small subunit ribosomal RNA", at positions 28 to 507 of the family's 1533-position model. The record is from RNAcentral.